GUCAGCCGCCGCGGGAACACCGGCGGCCCGAGUGGUGAUCGUGAUUAUUGGGUCUAAAGGGUCCGUAGCCGGUUUGGUCAGUCCUCCGGGAAAUCUGAUAGCUCAACUAUUAGGCUUUCGGGGGAUACUGCCAGACUUGGAACCGGGAGAGGUAAGAGGUACUACAGGGGUAGGAGUGAAAUCUUGUAAUCCCUGUGGGACCACCUGUGGCGAAGGCGUCUUACCAGAACGGGUUCGACGGUGAGGGACGAAAGCUGGGGGCACGAACCGGAUUAGAUACCCGGGUAGUCCCAGCCGUAAACGAUGCUCGCUAGGUGUCAGGCAUGGCGCGACCGUGUCUGGUGCCGCAGGGAAGCCGUGAAGCGAGCCACCUGGGAAGUACGGCCGCAAGGCUGAAACUUAAAGGAAUUGGCGGGGGAGCACAACAACGGGUGGAGCCCUGCGGUUUAAUUGGACUCAACGCCGGACAACUCACCGGGGGCGACAGCAAUAUGUAGGCCAAGCUGAAGACUUUGCCUGAAUCGCUGAGAAGAGGUGCAUGG
This 542-nucleotide ribosomal RNA is filed under the name uncultured archaeon. RNAcentral's name for it is "bacterial SSU rRNA". It matches the Rfam family "Archaeal small subunit ribosomal RNA", at positions 457 to 997 of the family's 1478-position model. The record is from RNAcentral.